AGAUGAUCUACCGCCGCCGAUGAGCUUCAUUUGGAUAUCUUUUUUUUUUUUGGUUUGACAUUUCUUUGAAAUUUGCAAUUUUGUUUGCUAUUUGGGUUGUAGCCAUGUUGCAUGACUGAAUUUUAGCACUCUUGGCUGUUGACAUUACUUAUAUUGUGUUCUCAUCAUUCUUUUCAUCUUCCCGUUUUUAUUUAUAAAAUCUUUUGUUCUUGACAGGGUCUUUUGUUUUCAAUUUUGUUGGUUUCUCAUGUGAUAGCAUUACAAUUACUUAGAGGUAAAAGAAGAGUAAUUGAAAAGAUGAGAUAUUGGGAAGGAGCAAAAAUCUAUUCAUUUGCCGGAGAAAUUACAUUGCAGCUGUAUUGCAGGUAUCCAGAACUUAAUUUAAGUUUUAAUAACAUAUUUAUCCUUUACUAUGUGUUUCUCAUAUUUAAUUUUGGUCAUGUGCUGUUAUUGUUUUAUAACAGUUGUGUUCAUAUCGAAAUAAAGCUUUAUUUCUUGAUAGGGAGCCUUAAAACUACCGAUCUAUUUAGAUUUUUCAGAGUAGACUUUAACAUUGCUCUAAAAAUAGCGAGGACAAAUUUAACGUUUUCGAAUAGUCCAAAUUUGGACUACACUGAAUAAUUUGGUAUUGACAACGGUUGGAGAAAACAAUAGCAGUUGCUCUGCCCGCUUCUUUUUUAUAACGUGCGCACCAGUGUUAGUCUCAACCUCCGCACACUAGACCUUUAUAUUUCCCUCAUCUCUCUAAAUGUUCACUGAUGAAAUUCUUAUACCAUGUCAGAAUAACACGCAGAUAGACUUAUAUUAAAUAGGUGCUGAUCGUGAAAGGAGAUUUAAAAAGGGUCUGAUGGACUGAGAUUUUUACAGUGGACACAUAUUCCAUCUCUUUUGUUAACUUUCUUAAAGGAUUCUACACAUACAUCUAUUCGAUUCAACCAAAACAAAGAUUGGGAUUAUGAUCCUUUACUGUUCGAUGGGCGUAUUGAUUUACUGAUUUGUUUAGUUUACACAUGAAUACUUUUAAGGCUGUAUGGAUGAAUUUAAUAUUUUUUGUCUGUUGAUAUGUCGUAUAACGAGCAAGAUGAUUUCAAGGUGAUACGAAAAUUAAGAGAGGAGAAUACAACGGCCUAUAUCAGGGAAUACACUUUAGUAAUGAUGAAAAAUGCAUCAUAAAAUCCUUAGGCCAGUGAGAAGAGAAAGACUAUAUGAGGACGUACAGUGAGCAAUCUCAAGCCUUCUGAGCAUGUCUGCACUCUGCUCUAAAGAGCCACAAAGAGCCUAUGUAGAAAGUCCCAAACUUGUAAUGUAUGAAUUGGUUCAAGGGAUUAGAUUAGAGUCAAGUGGUUGUUCUUGAUAUUACAUAUGGGUAAGAGGGAUGCUAUGCAUGUAGUAGAGAUAGACAGUAUCCACUAUUACAUGGAGCUUCCUAAAGGAAUUAAAAUUUGAAGUUUUACUACAUACACCAGCAGGAAGAGGAUCAUGAUAUAAAAACAAUAGAUUAAAAUUCCAAGCCAGUUCCGAAAGGGAAAUCAUCAAUAAUGCAAGUCCAAAUUAAGAGAAGUAAAACAAAGGUCAG
Lycium ferocissimum is the source of this 1576-nucleotide long non-coding RNA. RefSeq lists it as uncharacterized. The transcript is spliced from 4 exons. The record is from RefSeq and is a predicted model, not a curated record. Lineage: Eukaryota; Viridiplantae; Streptophyta; Magnoliopsida; Solanales; Solanaceae.